Molecule: small nucleolar RNA, 132 nt
Organism: Meriones unguiculatus (Mongolian gerbil)
Lineage: Eukaryota; Metazoa; Chordata; Mammalia; Rodentia; Muridae
Source: Ensembl
CCUGCUCCUGGAGACAUUGGGGAUGUGGCUGCUGUGACACUUGUGUGUCAGUAGGGGGCCAAGAGCAGAGAGGCUUUGUCUAUGCUCAGUGUUCUGACCUGCCAACAGCUGAAUGGUGAGCAGCCUAAUAUU